GAGGGUAUCGCUCAGUGGUGGAGCGUGUGCAUAGCAUGCAUGAGGUCCUGGGUUCAAUCCCCAGUACCUCCU
Transfer RNA from Camelus ferus (Wild Bactrian camel), 72 nucleotides. It matches the Rfam family "tRNA". From Rfam's summary of the family: Transfer RNA (tRNA) molecules are approximately 80 nucleotides in length. The record is from Rfam. Lineage: Eukaryota; Metazoa; Chordata; Mammalia; Artiodactyla; Camelidae.